Molecule: ribosomal RNA, 491 nt
Filed under: uncultured bacterium
Lineage: Bacteria
Description: bacterial SSU rRNA
Rfam family: Bacterial small subunit ribosomal RNA
Source: RNAcentral
AGUCAAUAGAUACCCGGGUAGUCCAUGCCGUAAACGAUGAUUGCUAGGUGGUGGGGGGUCUGACCCCUUCCGUGCCGGAAGUUAAACACAAUAAGCAAUCCACCUGGGGAGUACGGCCGCAAGGUUGAAACUCAAAGGAAUUGACGGGGGCCCGCACAAGCAGUGGAGUAUGUGGUUUAAAUUCGAAGCAACGCGAAGAACCUUACCAGGUCUUGACAUCCACCGAAUCCUGUAGAGAUACGGGAGUGCCCUUCGGGGAACGGUGAGACAGGUGGUGCAUGGUUGUCGUCAGCUCGUGUCGUGAGAUGUUGGGUUAAGUCCCGCAACGAGCGCAACCCUUGUGAAUAGUUGCUACGAAAGAGCACUCUAUUCAGACCGCCGUUGACAAAACGGAGGAAGGUGGGGAUGACGUCAAAUCAUCAUGCCCCUUAUGACCUGGGCUACACACGUACUACAAUGGCCGUUAACAGAGGGAUGCAAUGCCGCGAGGU